RNAcentral lists this long non-coding RNA (836 nucleotides) under Serinus canaria (Common canary). RNAcentral describes it as "lncRNA (ENSSCAG00000011336.1)". Lineage: Eukaryota; Metazoa; Chordata; Aves; Passeriformes; Fringillidae. The record is from RNAcentral.
CUUGUUUCUAGAUUGCAGCAGGUAUCUUUCACAGAGCUGAAGCUUCUCCAAGGGAAUGAUUUUCCCUUUUUUUUUUUCCCCUCAGGCAUUUCAAUAGGAAAGUUAAAAAUAAAUGAAACAAAUCAAUGCCUUUUGGCUGCUGCUGUUUCAGCUGAUGCCUCCUCUAGCAAAACACAAGCUUGAUAUGGUGCCUGAGAGCUCUUCACAAGAGAAAAUGGGUUUCUCCACACAAGAUUUUACAACUGCAGCCUUCCAUCCUUAUGAUUUUGAGUGAUGUUUUGCUUCUGAAUGUUUAUGCUUUCCAGCUAUGAGUGAAUAUAUGAAAUAGCUCUUCUGUGCAGUGGGAAGCAACCUAACGAGCCUGAGCUACACUGAGGGCACUGGAGGAGUUUACAAAUGUGUGGAGAGCAUGUGCUGAGCAACCCAGGGGAUACCACUCAAGGGAGUCCUCUGACAAAACUGGAGACAGCAUUGUGCCUGGAGCAGAACAGAAAAUCAACCUAAGCAAAAAAAGGAGCAUCCUACUCUCCAGUUGAAUGCAUUUCACAGGAAGCCAGAAGAGGUUUUGGAUGGCAAAAUUGGAUAAGAGGAUUUACAUACUGGACACUUUUAGUAAAAAGAGACUCAGAAGAAGAGUACAGCCAGUCUGCUGCUCCACUGGUCAAGGUUUGCUGUCUAGAGUUUCCACAGUUAAGCCAGGGACUGGCUUCCUACAGCUGGUUACCAGCUCAACACUUGAAGCACAGCUCAUCUUUGACAAAGUCCCAAGAUGCUGAGUGUGGUACCAAUCUCAGCAUGCAUGGGCAACACCAGCUCUGGAGUCUCUUGAACAGCAG